RNAcentral lists this ribosomal RNA (433 nucleotides) under uncultured bacterium. Its description in RNAcentral is "partial 16S ribosomal RNA". It matches the Rfam family "Bacterial small subunit ribosomal RNA", at positions 29 to 507 of the family's 1533-position model. The record is from RNAcentral.
AACGAACGCUGGCGGCAUGCCUAACACAUGCAAGUCGAACGAGACCUUCGGGUCUGGUGGCGCACGGGUGCGUAACGCGUGGGAACCUGCCCUUAGGUUCGGAAUAACUCCCCGAAAGGGGUGCUAAUACCGGAUAAUGUCUUCGGACCAAAGAUUUAGCGCCUUUGGAUGGGCCGGCGUUGGAUUAGCUAGUUGGUAGGGUAAAAGCCUACCAAGGCGACGAUCCAUAGCUGGGCUGAGAGGAUGAUCAGCCACACUGGGACUGAGACACGGCCCAGACUCCUACGGGAGGCAGCAGUGGGGAAUAUUGGACAAUGGGCGAAAGCCUGAUCCAGCAAUGCCGGGUGAGUGAUGAAGGCCUUAGGGUUGUACAGCUCUUUUACCCGGGAUGAUAAUGACAGUACCGGGAGAAUAAGCACCGGCUAACUCCGUG